Molecule: ribosomal RNA, 186 nt
Filed under: Entomoneis paludosa
Lineage: Eukaryota; Bacillariophyta; Bacillariophyceae; Surirellales; Surirellaceae
Description: Amphiprora paludosa partial Bacterial small subunit ribosomal RNA
Rfam family: Bacterial small subunit ribosomal RNA
Source: RNAcentral
AUAAGAGUUUGAUCCUGGCUCAGAUUGAACGCUGGCGGCAUGCUUUACACAUGCAAGUCGAACGGCAGCGAGGAGAAGCUUGCUUCUCUGUCGGCGAGUGGCGAACGGGUGAGUAUAGCAUCGGAACGUGCCAAGUAGUGGGGGAUAACCAAACGAAAGUUUGGCUAAUACCGCGUAAGCUCCAAG